AUGCAGCUGUGGGGUCUUUUCCUGUGCCUGGUGACAGGUCCCCAAGGUGUCCUGUCUGACCUGACACUGCAAGAGUCUGGCCCAGGACUGGUGAAACCCUCACAGACCCUGUCCCUCACCUGUGCUGUCUCCGGGGGCUCUGUAACCAGCAGUUACUACUGGAAGUGGAUCUGCCCGCGCCCUGGGAAAGGGUUGGAGUGGAUGGAGUACUGGACAGGAAGUACAAGCUACAACCCUGCUUUCCAAGGCCGAAUCUCCAUCACUGCUGACACGUCCAAGAACCAGUUCUCCCUGCAGCUGAGUUCUGUGACCACCGAGGACACACCCGUGUAUUACUGUGCAAGAGACAGUGAGAGGAAGUCAGUGAUCAUAGUCCCUCUUGCUUCUGGUGUCUUCCCCCUAGUGGCGCAUGUGAAAUCUUGUGUGCGCCUUCCAAGAGUGGAGUCUCUGCUUCCCCGAGUCCUGUGCAGCUACGGCACACAGUCUCCAUGGGCCUUCAAAGUCAAGCUCUCUGGGGGCUCCUCUUCCCAAUGCCAGAUGCUCUGA
This is a non-coding RNA of Balaenoptera acutorostrata (minke whale), 546 nucleotides long. The record is from the annotation of a RefSeq genome assembly. NCBI's taxonomy places the organism in Eukaryota, Metazoa, Chordata, Mammalia, Artiodactyla, Balaenopteridae.